RNAcentral lists this long non-coding RNA (366 nucleotides) under Capsicum annuum. RNAcentral's name for it is "long non-coding RNA (CANN_LNC011765)". Lineage: Eukaryota; Viridiplantae; Streptophyta; Magnoliopsida; Solanales; Solanaceae. The record is from RNAcentral.
CUACUUUAUAUUAAAUGAAAUCCCUUUGAAUUAUCUUUCCAACGAUACUAAUUUCACCCAAAUCCGAUAUCGGAGCAAAGAGUUAUGGUCGAUUUACUUUAACCUAUCAAAACAGUCCACCAUGGACAGAUUCGGAUUUACUUAAAUUUUAAGGGCAAUAUGGUCAUUUUCCAUCACCUCAUGGACGAAAAUUGGUCAUUAUAUACAUAUACUUAGCCUCAUAUCCAUCAUUUAUCAUCCAAAUUAUUGAAGAAUAAGAAACCCUAGCCUAAGUUCAACUCCAAUUAUCUUGUGAUUCAACCGUAGAAAAUCCAAAUUGAUUCCGUAGUUGUGUUCACCGUCUCGAGGGCUUCGAGAAGCACCCCU